RNAcentral lists this unclassified non-coding RNA (396 nucleotides) under Hevea brasiliensis (rubber tree). The record is from RNAcentral. Lineage: Eukaryota; Viridiplantae; Streptophyta; Magnoliopsida; Malpighiales; Euphorbiaceae.
GUUCCUUCUGGAUCUUCAGUCAUAACAUCAUCAUUAGAUGGCACUGCACUCAUCUGGGGAUCGCCUUCUUUUCCAGCAUAGUUAUCAAAAAGCAAUAAGCUUUCAUUCUCAACAUGCUGCACUGACAUGUCACCAUCGAAACUUUCUGGCAGCAAGUGUGUUACUUUGAUUGUUUCAUCCCCAGUGUUCAUAUCUCUGGCACUAAUCAUAGUCUCGAGAGACACCCUUGUUUCAUCUUCCAGACUAUUUUCACCCAUUGUGCAACUUAAGCUAGAUGUGGUAGUUCCAAGCUGGGCAUCCCUGUCCUUGUCCAUUUCAGCACUAGCUCCAUCACUUUGGCAAGCUGGUUCAUAAGGGGCUUCCAAGGGUCCAACUCUUGCAUCAUUUUCCAUCCUG